CCUACGGGAGGCAGCAGUGGGGGAUAUUGCUCAAUGGGGGAAACCCUGAUGCAGCGACGCCGCGUGGGCGAAGAAGUAUUUCGGUAUGUUAAGCCCUAUCAGCAGGGAAGAAGAAAUGACGGUACCUGAGUAAGAAGCACCGGCUAAAUACGUGCCAGCAGCCGCGGUAAUACGUAUGGUGCAGGCGUUAUCCGGAUUUACUGGGUGUAAAGGGAGCGCAGGCGGCACGGCAAGCCUGAUGUGAAAGCCCGGGGGCCACCCGCGGGACUGCAGUGGAAACUACCGGGCUGGAGUGCCGGAGAGGUAGGCGGAAUGCCUGGUGUAGCGGUGAAAUGCGUAGAUAUUGGGAGGAACACC
RNAcentral lists this ribosomal RNA (357 nucleotides) under uncultured bacterium. RNAcentral's name for it is "partial 16S ribosomal RNA". It matches the Rfam family "Bacterial small subunit ribosomal RNA", at positions 338 to 710 of the family's 1533-position model. The record is from RNAcentral.